AGUGAACGCUGGCGGUAGGCCUAACACAUGCAAGUCGAACGGCAGCACAGUAAGAGCUUGCUCUUACGGGUGGCGAGUGGCGGACGGGUGAGGAAUACAUCGGAAUCUACUUUUUCGUGGGGGAUAACGUAGGGAAACUUACGCUAAUACCGCAUACGACCUACGGGUGAAAGCAGGGGAUCUUCGGACCUUGCGCGAUUGAAUGAGCCGAUGUCGGAUUAGCUAGUUGGCGGGGUAAAAGCCCACCAAGGCGACGAUCCGUAGCUGGUCUGAGAGGAUGAUCAGCCGCACUGGAACUGAGACACGGUCCAGACUCCUACGGGAGGCAGCAGUGGGGAAUAUUGGACAAUGGGCGCAAGCCUGAUCCAGCCAUACCGCGUGGGUGAAGAAGGCCUUCGGGUUGUAAAGCCCUUUUGUUGGGAAAGAAAAGCAGCAGGUUAAUACCCCGCUGUUCUGACGGUACCCAAAGAAUAAGCACCGGCUAACUUCGUG
This 492-nucleotide ribosomal RNA is filed under the name uncultured bacterium. RNAcentral's name for it is "partial 16S ribosomal RNA". It matches the Rfam family "Bacterial small subunit ribosomal RNA", at positions 29 to 507 of the family's 1533-position model. The record is from RNAcentral.